CCUACGGGGGGCAGCAGUGGGGAAUAUUGGGCAAUGGGCGCAAGCCUGACCCAGCAAUGCCGCGUGAAGGAAGAAGGCUUUCGGGUUGUAAACUUCUUUGACAGGGGAAGAGCAGAAGACGGUACCCUGAAAACAAGCUACGGCUAACUACGUGCCAGCAGCCGCGGUAAUACGUAGGUGGCAAGCGUUGUCCGGAUUUACUGGGUGUAAAGGGCGUGUAGCCGGGAAGGCAAGUCAGAUGUGAAAUCUGGAGGCUCAACCUCCAAAUUGCAUUUGAAACUGUUUUUCUUGAGUACUGGAGAGGCGGACGGAAUUCCUUGUGUAGCGGUGAAAUGCGUAGAUAUAAGGAAGAACACCAGUGGCGAAGGCGGUCUGCUGGACAGCAACUGACGGUGAGGCGCGAAAGCGUGGGGAGCAAACAGGAUUAGAUACCCCAGUAGUC
RNAcentral lists this ribosomal RNA (442 nucleotides) under uncultured bacterium. Its description in RNAcentral is "partial 16S ribosomal RNA". It matches the Rfam family "Bacterial small subunit ribosomal RNA", at positions 338 to 795 of the family's 1533-position model. The record is from RNAcentral.